This 464-nucleotide ribosomal RNA is filed under the name uncultured bacterium. Its description in RNAcentral is "partial 16S ribosomal RNA". It matches the Rfam family "Bacterial small subunit ribosomal RNA", at positions 339 to 795 of the family's 1533-position model. The record is from RNAcentral.
CUACGGGGUGCUCCAGUGGGGAAUAUUGGACAAUGGGGGAAACCCUGAUCCAGCAAUGCCGCGUGUGUGAAGAAGGCCUGCGGGUUGUAAAGCACUUUCGGUUGGGAGGACUGCUUCUAGCACUAAUAUUGUUGGAAGUUGACGUUACCUUCAGAAGAAGCACCGGCUAACUCCGUGCCAGCAGCCGCGGUAAUACGGAGGGUGCAAGCGUUAAUCGGAAUUACUGGGCGUAAAGCGCGCGUAGGCGGCUAGAUCAGUCGGGUGUGAAAGCCCCGGGCUUAACCUGGGAACUGCAUCCGAUACUGGCUAGCUGGAGUACAGGGAGGGAGAGUGGAAUUCCACAUGUAGCGGUAAAAGGGGUGGAUAGUUGGGGGAACACCAAGGGCGAAGGCGCCUCUCUGGCCUGAUACUGACGUUGGGGUGCAAAAGCUGGGGAGCAAACAGGAUUAGAUACCCUUGUAGUC